CCCGACCCAGAGUGUCGGCUCCGGGGCCCGCGGGCAGGUCCGACUCUCCGAUGCCACCUGUCGCUCAGGUCCGCGGAACCGGCCGCACCGCAACGAUCUCAGACACACCAAGGCGGGUAGGGUAAUCCAGUUUCCGGGACUCCGGAACUGCGGCUGUUCGGUAGGAAAGACCAAAAGCAAAUGGUGAACAGGAGAGAAGACACACAUGCAUGCACAAAACAGAGCCACCGCCGCCACCACCAGCUCUCCGGGAGACCGCGGGCCGACGGGCGGCCUGCUCCGAGUUCACGGGAGUCCUUGCUGCAGACGCCACCAUUCCAGAAUCCUUGGCCAGGGCCGACCACGGGUUCCCGCUGGAACAGCCUCGCGACUCAGGUCUGAAGCCUGUGCUCCCUGGCCUCUCGUUCCAUUCUGUGGUGUCCCCUCCCCUACGACGACACUGAACCCUGCCGCUGCUCCCCGCCGCCUUGCCCGGUCCAGCGAGGGAGCUUGGCGCAGGAGGUAAACCCAGGACGCUGGGGAAGACUUCCUGAGUGAGCGCUACCAUGUUUUCCAGCCCUUCAGCCAGAAGACGGAGGCUGGAGGCUGAAAACCCUUUGCCGGAGACAGACAGAGGCGCUUUCCAUUCGAUUCCCGUUUGGGAGAAUCCGAAAUGAGAGAUUACGAGCCCUGAAGACGGAGAUUUUGAAAGCACGGUGGGGGCGAUUGCGUACACCCCUUUCCUGCCCCCACUGAGCCACUGAGGAAACUCAAGGGCUAAAGUUGUUCAGUUGCCUUGAAGAGUUUCUCUCCAGAGGAAAGAGAAAGUUAAUGUGGAUUUUUCCUUAGUGUCUACAGAGCGUAAACUUUCCCAGUAGCGUCUUAGUCUUGGGUCAUUCACUCCUUUUGAGAGGAAUGAAUUGAAUUUCAGGUCUCUAUAAGUAUUUUCAGAUUUCAUCGGAUAUACCUCACUCCUGCACGACGCAGUCAUUUAAAGAUAUAUUUGCGUUUCCAAUAACAAACCCAAAUUA
Pteropus alecto (black flying fox) is the source of this 1010-nucleotide long non-coding RNA. RefSeq lists it as uncharacterized. Lineage: Eukaryota; Metazoa; Chordata; Mammalia; Chiroptera; Pteropodidae. The transcript has 2 exons. The record is from RefSeq and is a predicted model, not a curated record.